Molecule: non-coding RNA, 1190 nt
Organism: Ciona intestinalis (vase tunicate)
Lineage: Eukaryota; Metazoa; Chordata; Ascidiacea; Phlebobranchia; Cionidae
Source: RefSeq, a predicted model, not a curated record
ACAUUACUUAUACUUGCGUAUUAAUUUUACUCUUAAAAUAUAUUUGUGCUGUUAGCUAGAAAUGAAGCAUGAAGAUCAAAGAUUUGGUAAAGUAUAAAUCACAAUAGGCAUUGUUACGUACACCAAUUCUUUUCUAGAUGACAUCAGAGAUGUGACGUCACGAAGUGGUGAUGACGCAACAGAAGAACCCACUUCAACAUGGUAUGUGACGUCACAGAGGAUCAAGAGGACACAGCGCGAAUCGGAAAUGAAGAAAAGCCAGCGUAUUUGCUGCCGAAGAAAAGCGCAAGACGAAGAGCAAAGACGAAGACAACGACGAAUAUGGAUACCGGUUUGAGGUUUUGCUUAGGAGUUGUGUGUUGUUGGGGUGUGGUUGCUGGAGCACUCUUACAGUGUUGCCGGAUUUGUGAUUGUUUCCCAUUUAUGCUGCACCUAAUGUAGGCAGCCUUUUUGUCAGUCACUACUUUAGUGCAUUUUGCAUGUCUAUGAAAUAUUUGCAUUGAAGCUAUGGCAAACAUCUUGCUGGAUCGGAUUUUGUUGUUGUACACGUCAUUGUGUGCUUCUUCUGCAAAGGUCGAAUCCUUUAGCGAUUCUGCAUUGUCCUAAUCACUUAAUAAGAACGGCAUGUUGGUACACAAAUACACGAGUAAUAUCCACGCGCUUUAUAAUAUACACGCGGUUAAAAUUUUAGAUUUUAUCCCUCAUUUUUCGUUAAAAUUUAUUAUCCCUGUUAUAACCUAUUGUUUAAUUUAAAAAAAAAAACGGUUUAUUAUCUAUAAAAGCCUAAUUGUGACGCUGGCCACGUUACAAUUACGCUAUACGUCGAUGGGUCUUCAAGGCUCAACGUUCGGUGCGGUUACGUCCUUGUUCUAGACUGAGUUACGUUACUGUUGGGUUGUUGCGUGGACGUCACCGCCAGUGGUGCUGCGCUAGUUUAGGUCACAGCCGGUAAUGUGAUGCUACGCUCGGUUAUUUAGGUCACUUAGUGCGGUUCGUAACAACCCGACGCAGUUUCAUGACGGUCGAAGCGGUGCUUAACAUCCGAACGAUAUUAUAUUGCGUGAAGAUACGACGAGAGUAUCGCGGUACCAACAUGGCGACUUGUCAGGUGAUUGGGACAUGUGGAGCCAUUAUCGGCUUCGACUCCUUGUGGCCGGACAUAUAAUGAUUUGUACACUGCAGAUGAUUAU